CCUACGGGCGGCAGCAGUGAGGAAUAUUGGUCAAUGGGCGAGAGCCUGAACCAGCCAAGUCGCGUGAGGGAAGACGGUCCUAUGGAUUGUAAACCUCUUUUGUCGGGGAGCAAAAAGGCCUCCUUAUGCCACAAGUGAGAGUACCCGAAGAAAAAGCAUCGGCAAACUCCGUGCCAGCACCCGCGUUAUUACGGGGGAUGCGAGCUUUAUCGGGAUUUAUUGGGUUUAAAGGGUGCGUAGGCGGACUGGAAAGUCAGCGGUAAAAUCGAGAGGCUCAACCUCUUUCCGCCGUUGAAACUGGCGGUCUUGAGUGUGCGAGAGGUAUGCGGAAUGCGUGGUGUAGCGGUGAAAUGCAUAGAUAUCACGAAGAACUCCGAUUGCGAAGGCAGCAUACCGGAGCCCGACUGACGCUGAGGCACGAAAGCGUGGGUAUCGAACAGGAUUAGAUACCCUGGUAGUC
RNAcentral lists this ribosomal RNA (460 nucleotides) under uncultured bacterium. Its description in RNAcentral is "partial 16S ribosomal RNA". It matches the Rfam family "Bacterial small subunit ribosomal RNA", at positions 338 to 795 of the family's 1533-position model. The record is from RNAcentral.